RNAcentral lists this ribosomal RNA (440 nucleotides) under uncultured bacterium. RNAcentral describes it as "partial 16S ribosomal RNA". It matches the Rfam family "Bacterial small subunit ribosomal RNA", at positions 338 to 795 of the family's 1533-position model. The record is from RNAcentral.
CCUACGGGUGGCAGCAGUGAGGAAUUUUGGGCAAUGGAGGCAACUCUGAUCCAGCCACGCCGCGUGCGUGAAGAAGGUUUUCGGAUUGUAAAGCUCUUUCGGAUGUGACGAUUAUGACGGUAGCAUCUAAAGAAGCACCGGCUAACUUCGUGCCAGCAGCCGCGGUAAUACGUAGGAGGUAAGCGUUGUUCGGAGUUCCUGGGCGUAAAGGGAGGGUAGGCGGUUUAGUAAGAUAGUGGUGAAAUCCCAGAGCUUAACAUUGGAAUUGCCAUUAUAACCAUUAGACUAGAAUUACAGAGAGGAUAGUGGAAUACCCAGUGUAGAGGUGAAAUUCGUAGAUAUUGGGUAGAACACCAGUGGCGAAGGCGACUAUCUGGCUGUACAUUGACGCUGAGGCUCGAAAGCAUGGGGAUCAAACAGGAUUAGAUACCCCGGUAGUC